GUGAGCGGAAAUGAACCUAUUUCACACGUGAUGCUAGAGCAUAAGUAAAGUACAGUUGUUGACCCUAAAAACUACCUAGCCUACGUGUUGCGCAGGCUGAGUAAUUAAUAAGGUAACUACGUCAUUCGGUCAAAUGCAGGGUGUGCUCACUCGUCGAUCGAACUUGGUCAGGGAGUAAAAUGAAUGUUGAUGUUUGUGUUGGAUGUGCUGCUAACUUCUGCGUCUUGCGAGUGCGGCUGAAGGAGGAACUCGUCUGGGCCUUUGGGUUCUAGAGCCUGAAGACAAGGUUGCUAGUUUCUUCUAAGUUCACGAAUCGUCGACGCUGGGUUCGGCCUCAGUAAUUAUAUUUGUGAGAAUAUAAGUACGCCGAACUAGUACCAGAUUGUACGGACACAAAUACUCAAAAAAAGAUAAGUGUCUUGAUUGUAAAUGUGGUUCAGCCGUCGCAAUGCCGAACUCUAAAAUGUGCUUACGAAUAUCCAAUCAUAAAAUAAACUCAGCUUUCAAUGUGCCAAGCAUGGUAACACCUCACUCCGCCAAGAAGGCUGAUAAAAUGACCUCUUCCAACAAGGACUCAGAAAUCCUCGUUGAUCGAGACUUGGAUAGAAAACCAGUCAAUCUCAAAGUAGUGUUGUUUAUCCAAACUGAAGAUGUUGUCAGUUGCCUUCACAUUGUUGUUUAUCCAAACUAAAGAUGUCUUGGCGGGGAAAAAGAAAAUAAAAAUCUCAAGUUGUUUGAGAGGUUUGCGCAUGUCAGUUGUGUGUUGAAUUGGAAGGCCCAUUUUUCGCAUUACUGAUGCUUCUGUAUUUAUAUAACAUAUUUACCUUGGCAUAGUCUGACAAUUUUGUGGAGCUCAUUUGCAACUCAAACUAGCGAAACUGAUCUGUGCCAUAGGAGACACAACCAAUUUUUGUGUAGAGUCUAUAGAUGCGUGUGAGUGUUAUCACUAGAAACCUUUAGGAGACACAACUCCUACUAAGGACACCAAGAGGUUUAAAGGCUUGUUACACAUGUUGACUGCAAUUGUUCAGCCAUCGAAAAUGGUAUAGUUAGAUUUUUUUUUUUAGUUUGUUUGUUUUUAGUUUUAGUUUUGCUCUAGCAUUAGCAAAAAUCAAGUUUCGGUGUAUUUGAUAACUCGUAUAUUUCAUACAUUUAUAUCAUCUAUUCCUAGUCUCUUUGUGAUAUUUAUUAGUUAAACUGCUUAAGUUUUAUCCUCUUUUAUGUUGGUGUGCAGUUAAUCAUAUUGUAGAGUCCAUUUUAGGGAAAAUGAGGCAAAAUGGUGCUAAAAGUGGAAAUUAAAUACGAAUGCUAAUGUUGAGAGGGAAUCAAAAGGAGAUAAUUGAAGAUGGUGCUGAGUUGAGGUCUAAUUAAUCUUUAAAGAUGAAUUUGGCCAUUUAGAAGACCAAUAACAGAAAAAGAAAAAUGUGCAAGAUAAAGGCUUAAUUAUUAGGAUAUUUUGACAUUCUGUACACAAUAAGAACCAAACCUCGUUCACGCUUGGAAGCCCAAAGGUUAACGGCGUCUUCUCCAAUGACAGAGGACUCCAAUCGUCAUUCUCCCUCCCGCUCACACUACCUCUCCCUCUUCCUCUCCCUCUGUCUCUCCCUUCCUCUCUCUCUCUCUCUCUCUCUCUCUCUUUCCUCUCUCUCUCUCACAGACUACCUCUCCUUGCUCAAACAACCAUCAACCCAGAGUGGCAAUGGCAAGCUUCGAGCAACAACGACGAGCUGUAAAAUUGAAUAGAAAAGCUAGACAAUCUUGAAAAACAAGGAAUCAGGUUGAAGAGCUGCAUAAAGGACAGCCAUAAGGGCAAAGCCAUACAAAGCAAAGUUUCCAACACCGUGAUGUCAACCAUCUAUGUUCAUUACGAGGACAAGGAAUUGAGAGAAGCACAAGCUCCUCCUAGCUAUCACUGACACGUCUCAGAUGCCUAGAGUGGAAGGAGUUGAUGUCUCUAUCUGAUAUAAAUAAUGUCUCUGUAUAUGCUAAUGACUAUGGUCUAAUAUGGACAUAGAUUGUUUCUCAAAUUGGUAUGAAAGGGUAAAACAAUAUGUGAGAUUCGUCUUAGUCUCAUUUAUAAUUUUGGGUUGGAAUCUAUAAAUCCGUAACGAGCAAGAUACUUUUGUUUUGUAUUUGUAUAUUUUGAUAGCCUCUUUCAAAUCCUCUCUAUAAGUCAAACAAAGUUUACUACCUUAUGUGUUCUGAAGGAAAACAUUUUUGUUUUCAUGUA
Molecule: long non-coding RNA, 2230 nt
Organism: Pyrus x bretschneideri (Chinese white pear)
Lineage: Eukaryota; Viridiplantae; Streptophyta; Magnoliopsida; Rosales; Rosaceae
Exons: 3
Source: RefSeq, a predicted model, not a curated record